UUUUUUUUUUUUUUUUUUUUUUUUUUUUUAAAGGGCCUCACCUGUGGCCUAUGGAGAUUCCCAGGGUAGGGGUCAAAUCAGAACUGCAGCUGUCAGCCUACACCACAGCCACAGCAACACUGGAUCUGAGCCGCACAUGUGACCUAUACCACAGCUCACAGCAACAGCAGAUCCUUAACCCACUGAGCAAAGCCAGGGAUGGAACCUGCAUCCUCAUGGAUACUAGUCAGAUUUGUUUCCCCUGAGCCAUGACGGGAACUCCUCACAUCUUAUUUCUUUUACCCCCCCCCAAAAAAAAACAGUCUACGCAAAAAAAAUAUAGAAAAGGCGUUAACAGUUUCAUAGUUUUUUUUCUACAGUAGAAAGGUCUCAAAGAAGUGUUCGAGGAUUCUGGUUAGGACAAAAUCAUCUGACCCAUCUCCUUGCUCCACUCCUCCCACUUAAAUAAAACUCUAAACCCUGAAAAGAACAGAAGAGAAAGCCAAAGAGUUCCAAAAGAUAGAAAGUGAACUGAUUUUGUUAGGGACAUACCUGAGACCUGGAGAAACAACACACCUGGAAGAAGGCAGCCCAGGCCUGGCAUUCCCCAAUCUCCAGUCCAGCCACAGCAGCCAGCACAGGUCCUGCAGGCUCAUUUGUCCCCUCCGUCCUAUGAGAGUUCUGCUGACAAUACCAAGCAAGUUUGGCAGAACUAGCAUGGUAGCAUCUAUCAGAAUCCCCAGUUUAUCAUAAAUGAACAAGUCAGUGAAGGGGGAGUUUCUGGAAGAGUAUUAUUUGGAAUGCUCUGUCAGACAAUUCAUAGACGUCAGUUUCUUUAGGGUCAGUCACUGGAGUUUUAUUAGUUUCUUUUAGUGGCGUCUUCCUUCACCAGUCAUUCCUUUGGAGAUUCUGAGGGUGUCCAUGGGCUGACUUGCUGCUACAGGCCUUGGGCAGGUAGGCCUGUUGCCUGGGUCAGCAGGUGGGCUGGUCUGAUUUUUGGUACCUGGGGACCAGCCUGGUGCCUGAAUCCAUAGGGACAGACCUGGAGCUUGCGUUCACCGGGGUGGGCCUGGCACAGGAGUCUUUUGUGAUGGGCCUUGGACCUUUACUCUGGCUCCACAGAGACCAAUCAGGCGCCAGGGACCAGUGGAGUUGGCCUGGCCUCUUGAGUCCACCUUGGUGCACAGGAGCCGUGGGAACCCAAAAAUACGGCGGAGGACCCGGGCCUAGGUCCUCAGAAUGCACGAGAGUCCUGUGUGGAAGAAGCGGCCAGGCACCUCACGCAGGAAUAUCUGGCCCUACUGGAGCCAAGGCCGUCCGAGUGAGCCGAAGACCUGUGUUCACUCUGCUCUCUGAGAGGCUGGGAAUGAGAAAACCUCUCGGAGCCCCGGGAGCCACCUGGGGCUGCAAGAACUGGCAGGUGCCCAGGUGAGCUGAGCCUCAGUUCAGGAACUCGCGAGAGCUUGGUGCCGCGCAAGCGGCCUGAGGCGGCUGGAGCCCGCAGGUCUUGGGAGAGCCCCGGGGUUUGCUCAGCGGCGGAACUCAUAUGGGAGCAGCUGGAGGCUGUGGAACCCUCUGGGGGCCCCUGGAGCCAGCGGACACUGAGGUGAGCCGGGGCCUGGGUUCGCGGGAGCCCACCAGCGCCUGGUGUCAAGGACGCUGCCUUCGCGCCUUGUUGCCCUCCCUCUGAGAAGGGCCUGGAAUCCCCGCAGUUUUCCAGAACCUGGUGUGGAUGUCGACGGGGUCCGAGGUAGUCAGUUGGGGCCUCUGGGGCCGGCGGGCGCCUGGGAGGGCUGUGGGCCUGGGCUCUGGGGAGCCAGCAGGAGCCUGGAGCCGUGGAAACCACCUGGGGCGUUGGAACCCUUACAGAGCUGAGGGAGCCCGAACGGGUGACCAGAACGCUGCCUGAGGCCAGUGGACAGGCAUGGAGUCAGGCUGGGGCCUGAGUUCCUGAGGGCCCACAGGGAGCCACCUGGGGCCACAGAGUUUGUCCUGGCUCUAGGGUCCGUGGUGGCUGUCGUGCGCCCACUGUGCCCUCCUUCCUCGGCGAGCUCGUCUGCGCAGCCAGGGCUGGGGGGAGGGGCGAUGGACCGUGCACCCUUCUUUUCGACCUUCCUCAGUGUGGCCUUUCUUAUUUCUGUUCUUCCGCAGGGGCAGAACUACCUCACCCAGAAGCCUUGGCUCCUCUGAAGGGCCACAACCGCAACAUAUAGAAGGUUCCAGGCUAGGGGUCAAAUCAGAGCUGCAGCUGCCAGUCUACACCACAGCCACAAUAAUGCCAGAUCUGAGUUGCAGCUGCAAUCUACACCACAGCUCACUGCAACACCAGAUCUUUUAACUCACUGAGCAAAGCCAGGGAUUGAGCCCACAUCCUCAUGGAUGCUAGUCAGGCAGGCUCUUAACUCCUUUGGCCAUGAUGGGAACUCAUACUUUUUCAAGUAAUAAUGAAAUAUAUAUGCAUGUAAUUUUGUAGAUCACUGGUUCUUCAGAGAGAAUCAAAAUUAAAAGUAAUUAUUGUACAAUUUAAAGUUGCAUAAAAUUAACCAAAGUUGUCUUGUCACAUGUAGCUUUCAAAAAGACUGAAUCAUAGACUACCACACACUAGGAAACUUAGUGGUCUUUCUCAAAUAUUUUUAAGCUGAAUUAUGUUUCAUGUCACUUACACUACUACUUACAUAUCUUUGUCUAAAUCCAUUGCUCUCUUAAUAUUCUCCACAUGGAAAAUGAAGCAACCCUAUUUGCAUUUUAAAAGAUUGCGACACAGUAAAUCAUGCCCAGUGACAAAACUGAGUUAUUAUUUUAAUAUGGUCAUGAUGUAACCUGUCCCAGCUUUAUUCCGAUAUACCCAGUAUUCUAACCUUGACCUCUCUGAAUUUAACAUCGUGUUCUAUUAAAGAAUGCGUAUAAUUUUCAAAAUGGAUGAAAGAUAGAUUUUAGUGAUGUUUCACUUUCUAGGAUUUUGCAAUUUUUAACCCUUAUUUAAAUAUUCCCCUUCUUAAAAAUUAGCUAUCUAGUAUUUUAACAACUGGAGUCAGAAAGUAAAUUAGUGGUCACACAGGGCUGGAGGGGAAAUUGGGGAGAAAAGCACUGAAGGAUACAGUGUUUUUUGGGGGGAUGAAAGUGUUCUGAAUUGAUAUUGAUGGUAGUUGCAUCAUUCUGUGGAUAAAUUAAAAAUAUUGUAUUGAACAAUUUAAAUGUUUGAAUUGUACAAUAUGUAAAUUAUAUCUCAAUAGAGCUGUUAAAAUUUAGCCUACAAAAGUAGAAAAAUUAUACAUUCUCCUAUUAGUAAUAUAGUGAAAGAAACAAUUUUAUGAGCAUACUUUGAAAAUUCUGAAGAUUGAUUAUAUUCUCAUGGGUUUUGGGUUACAUUUCCACUCAUUUAUCAGUAUGUCAAGUUUAAAGGAUUUUUUUUCAAAUUGGCAAUUUUUUUGACAAAAUUCUGUCCUCUUUUUUAAGACCUAAGGGGAAAAUACCAUUUUUUUUUUGAAAUAACUAUUUUAACUAAUGUCUCAUGCAGAAUGUUUACU
This 3506-nucleotide long non-coding RNA is filed under the name Sus scrofa (pig). RNAcentral describes it as "lncRNA (ENSSSCG00050002978.1)". Lineage: Eukaryota; Metazoa; Chordata; Mammalia; Artiodactyla; Suidae. The record is from RNAcentral.